This 253-nucleotide ribosomal RNA is filed under the name uncultured bacterium. RNAcentral describes it as "partial 16S ribosomal RNA". It matches the Rfam family "Bacterial small subunit ribosomal RNA", at positions 524 to 776 of the family's 1533-position model. The record is from RNAcentral.
UACGGAGGAUCCAAGCGUUAUCCGGAUUCAUUGGGUUUAAAGGGUGCGUAGGUGGAAUGGUAAGUCAGUGGUGAAAGCCUGCGGCUCAACUGCAGAACUGCCAUUGAUACUGCCAAUCUUGAGUACAUAUGAAGUGGGCGGAAUGUGUCAUGUAGCGGUGAAAUGCUUAGAUAUGACACAGAACACCGAUUGCGAAGGCAGCUCACUAAACUGUAACUGACGCUGAGGCACGAAAGCGUGGGGAGCAAACAGG